UACAGAGGGUGCGAGCGUUAAUCGGAAUUACUGGGCGUAAAGCGCACGUAGGUGGCGACGUAAGUCGGGUGUGAAAGCCCCGGGCUCAACCUGGGAAUUGCAUUCGAGACUGCAUUGCUGGAGUACGGAAGAGGAAGGCGGAAUUCCCGGUGUAGCGGUGAAAUGCGCAGAUAUCAGGAAGAACACCUAUGGCGAAGGCAGCUCUCUGGGACGGUACUGACGCUGAGACGCGAAAGCGUGGGGAGCGAACAGG
Molecule: ribosomal RNA, 253 nt
Filed under: uncultured bacterium
Lineage: Bacteria
Description: partial 16S ribosomal RNA
Rfam family: Bacterial small subunit ribosomal RNA
Source: RNAcentral